UACGGAAGGCAGCAGUGGGGAAUAUUGCACAAUGGGCGAAAGCCUGAUGCAGCUAUGCCGCGUGUAUGAAGAAGGCCUUAGGGUUGUAAAGUACUUUCAUCGGGGAGGAAAAACAAAACUAAUAAUUUUAUUUCUUGACGUUACCCGAAAAAGAAGCACCGGCUAACUCCGUGCCAGCAGCCGCGGUAAUACGGAGGGUGCUAGCGUUAAUCAGAAUUACUGGGCGUAAAGAGCACGUAGGUGGUUUUUUUAAGUCAGAUGUGAAAUCCCUGGGCUUAACCUAGGAACUGCAUUUUGAAACUGAAAUACUAGAGUAUCGUAGAGGGAGGUAGAAUUCUAGGGUGUAGCGGUGAAAUGCGUAGAUAUCUGGAGGAAUACCUGUGGCGAAAGCGGCCUCCUAAACGAAUACUGACACUGAGGUGCGAAAGCGUGGGGAGCAAACAGGGAUUAGAUACC
RNAcentral lists this ribosomal RNA (456 nucleotides) under uncultured bacterium. Its description in RNAcentral is "bacterial SSU rRNA". It matches the Rfam family "Bacterial small subunit ribosomal RNA", at positions 340 to 786 of the family's 1533-position model. The record is from RNAcentral.